RNAcentral lists this ribosomal RNA (374 nucleotides) under uncultured bacterium. RNAcentral describes it as "bacterial SSU rRNA". It matches the Rfam family "Bacterial small subunit ribosomal RNA", at positions 30 to 400 of the family's 1533-position model. The record is from RNAcentral.
AUUGAACGCUGGCGGAAUGCUUUACACAUGCAAGUCGAACGGCAGCACGGACUUCGGUCUGGUGGCGAGUGGCGAACGGGUGAGUAAUAUAUCGGAACGUGCCCAGUCGUGGGGAUAUCGUAGCGAAAGUUACGCUAAUACCGCAUACGAUCUACGGAUGAAAGCGGGGGAGUCGCAAGACCUCGCGCGAUUGGAGCGGCCGAUAAUCAGAUUAGGUAGUUGGUGAGGUAAAGGCUCACCAAGCCGACGAUCUGUAGCUGGUCUGAGAGGACCGACCAGCCACACUGGGACUGAGACACGGCCCAGACUCCUACGGGAGGCAGCAGGUGGGGAAUUUUGGACAAUGGGCGCAAAGCCUGAUCCAGCAAUGCCGC